GCAGCCGGGGCGUUAGCGGUGCCCUGUACCUGCAAUCCGCUAUAGCAGGGGUGAUGCGCCGGCUGAGGGCUUUGGCUGAUACAGCUGCCCUUUAUAAGUGGCGUUGAAGUCCGGGUCUUACGCAAUGGAUGCCUGUGAACCGUGUCAGGUUGGGAACAAAGCAGCACUAAACAGGAUUUUUCAUGUGCCGUGAGGGCGCCUGGACUGAGUUAACUGUAAAGGUAACGUGUAUUGGUUUCGCUCGAAGCGGCGCG
This 254-nucleotide signal recognition particle RNA is filed under the name pig gut metagenome. RNAcentral describes it as "Bacterial large signal recognition particle RNA". It matches the Rfam family "Bacterial large signal recognition particle RNA". Rfam says of the family: The signal recognition particle (SRP) is a universally conserved ribonucleoprotein involved in the co-translational targeting of proteins to membranes. Archaeal SRP consists of a 7S RNA and homologues of the eukaryotic SRP19 and SRP54 proteins. In most bacteria, the SRP consists of a 4.5S RNA and the Ffh protein (a homologue of the eukaryotic SRP54 protein). The record is from RNAcentral.